RNAcentral lists this long non-coding RNA (579 nucleotides) under Homo sapiens (human). RNAcentral describes it as "HSALNT0335840". The record is from RNAcentral. Lineage: Eukaryota; Metazoa; Chordata; Mammalia; Primates; Hominidae.
CAGCGGGUCCCAGCUGACGGAAGCUGACAAGUUUAUUUAAUCCCUGAACCUGGAUCCAAGGCAUCUCCCUGUAGAAAACAUCAGACCGGGGCAGAGAUUGACAAAGCAACCCAAAGCAGCAGCUGCCAACGGCCGCUGUGCCCACCUCAUCAGCAGCUAAAGAGUAUAAUUUUAAAAAAAGUCACAGAAGAAUGUGGAGACACUUAGCAAAACGGACUCUCAUAAGAUUUGAGGAAACUCCUAAGGUCCCUCCAGUGUACAACAAUUUGGAACUUCCAUUUUCUCAACAACUGCUCUUCCAAGAUGCUGCCUCAUUUCAGAGCCAUGUUUUACUCAUGAGCUGGUCCUGUCCAGAAAACAGCCAAUGCUCAUUCCCGACACUUUCUUGUCACUGCUCUUUUCUGUUCCCUAUUUUGUCAGUAAGGAAGUAAACAACCGCUAAAACAACCCUCUAACAACAGAAGACCCUCAUGAGAACACCAGGCAGCAGAAGCUUCUUUAGCAGUAAAAGAUAUCUGGAUAUUCAUAUUUUGUUCCAUGAUCUUCAACAUUAAAUAAAUAAACUUAAUAUUCAAGUCU